UAAAAAGAAAUAAAUAAGUAUCCAAAAGCCAACCCAGAGAGGAAAACCCUUUGGAAAGAAAGGAUGCUGGCUCACUCAUUGUCUCCCCGUGUGGGCAGUGGACUGCCGGGCACGCAGGCUGGGCACGUGCAUCUGUUAGCUGGGGAAAGAAUUCACUGCGGCGAUUGGGCGAUCGUUUGUGACUCCUAAAUGCAGCUGCUCUGCAAUGUGCCAAGUGUUCACACAGAAAAUCAUCAAACUCCAGGGAAGAGGGAGGGGCAGGGACGCUUGGAAAAACUGAACAUUGGAGUUUUGGAGCAGGUUGAGAGGUUGUCUAAUCCGUCUCAGGCAAAACUGCAUCACCUGUGAAAUGGAGACAACAAACCUCUACCUCAUGAGAUGCUUGGAAAGAUUAAUUAGAACAUGGAGCAGCUCAACAGAGUUAUCUGCCAGCAGUUCUUCAGUGACAAGCCAGUGAGCUCAAGUGGAAGAUGGAUGGGUGAUUUCGCUUUUCAGGC
Long non-coding RNA from Globicephala melas (long-finned pilot whale), 497 nucleotides. RefSeq lists it as uncharacterized. The record is from RefSeq and is a predicted model, not a curated record. Lineage: Eukaryota; Metazoa; Chordata; Mammalia; Artiodactyla; Delphinidae.